Molecule: non-coding RNA, 425 nt
Organism: Triticum urartu
Lineage: Eukaryota; Viridiplantae; Streptophyta; Magnoliopsida; Poales; Poaceae
Source: RefSeq, a predicted model, not a curated record
GAGGCUCUGUUUGUGUUUGGAUAAGGCCGAGGGAAGAGAGCUCGAGCGGCGGAGCGGAGUAGGUGAUUCCAUAUGUUCAUGGCGAGUCCAUUCCUCCACCGCAGGAUUUUGAUUUCUCAUCCCUUUCUCUUCGAUCUCCGGCUUCCGCGGGCUUCUGCUGCUGCUUCUGCGGCUGUUGUAUCUUGUUGAUGCAUUUCUUGCCAUGUCUGCAGAAUUUUCAAUGUAAGAAGGUGAGGCGGGUGAAGGGGUUGAAGAAUAUGGGUACAAGUAGAAGUGUUUCUGACCUGGUGAUCUUCCUGGGUUUUCCCCCAAUGUUUUGGCUGUUUGGUGGGUCGCAAGCUGAUGGGCAGUUGUUCGCUAUGGUCCAAGGUAUUGUGGUUCAGGUUUAGUUGAAACCGGGUAACAGUUUAGCCCGACCCGUUUUU